AUAAACAACGAGGCUUAUGAUUUCCUGAAAAGCUUGGCUGGUGCCAAAAUCAUUCUCAUACUCAAUUAUCAGGGAUACCUUGGCCUAAGGCUAUCCUAAUCGAGUCCGCCAAGGCUGUUAAAAAGUUAUGUACGCAUAAAUCAUGUUUUUAUUUUGAAAACAUAGCCAUUCCUUGACGUUGGCUGAGUUCACCCUCAUGUGGUAGUUUGGAGUGAAGGUUGUACCUCAGGAGUUACCCUACGCACCUCCCCAAUCGAGGUAAGAAUAUAACAGGAUUACGUGCCCCUCAAAAAGGUUGGUCCACAAAACCCGCCCACUGCAACAAGUUAAACCCACCAUACAAUAAAAUUUGCAAUAGCAUGACAUAGAAAUUAUUUUAUUUUACAGCCUCUCAAGGAAAAUCAAUAGUUCAUACAUUUUCAGCACAUUUACCAAUUCAACCAUUCAUGCCAAUAUUAUCAUAAGCCAUUCAAUUCAAACCAUGAUUUAUAACACAGCAAUUAGUGUCCAAUUACUUCAUUUUCAAAACCAUCUUUCAAUUUCAAGACAAUUUUAUAAAAUCAUUUCAUUUAAUCACAUUUUUGCUUAUAAAACAUAAAGAUUUACCAUUUAAACUCAUUUUCCAUAAAAUCACAAAAAUGAAUUAAAAUUCACUUUAGAUAAUCAAGAUGAUGAUAAGGUUAUUCACUGUAUCAGGAGUUUGAAAUACUUCUAUUCUCAGUCCUCUGACACAACGUCUUUACCCUUGUUAGAGAGCUCACCACCUAUAUACAAUACACGACACAUAAUUCAAUAUAUUGUGUCAUACCAUUAUAAAUCUAUUUCAGACUCUUUACUAAUGCAUGAAAUGGGAUGUGAAAUGCUCGAGUAACCAUCUAAAUACGGUGUUCAAUAUAAGUUCAAUUGUGUACCUAACUAAAAUGGUAUCGGCCUAAUUCGAUCUAUCACCCGAUUAAUUGGCCAAUACGUCCAAUUCAACUCCAAAUAAUUUCAUUUUUCUCCCAAUACUCCAAAUCAUCAAACAUAAGUCAAAUAGCAUAAAAUUUAGCAAAAAUCAUCUUCACAUUUUCUCUUGGGAAUUUCGGCCAUGGUGGGUGCAUCAAUACUAUGAUUUUUCCUACUUGAUUUUCUCACCGUAAUUCAUCAUUUCCUAACCAAUUCACUUGAAAUAAAAUCAAAAUCAUCAUCAAUAUUCUACAUGGAGAAUUCGGCCAAUGAGGGUUAUGGAAGAACAUGAAUUUUUCUUGCUUGAUUUUCAUGCUACACAUCACCAAUCAACUAAAAACACUAGAAUAUCUUAAAAUCUAACCAAAACAAUCAUCAAAAUCUCUCUCUAAGUGUUCAGCCAGCAAAAUACCCAUCAUGAAAUCAUGUGAUUCAACCAUGAAAAAUGCAAAAGAAUGUAUGGGAAAGGUAGAUCACAAGUCAAAAUCAAGAAAUUUUACCUUUGAUUGCUUGAUACUUGAAAUCCACGAAUUUUCUCUUGAAUUUUCACUCUAGGGUUUUUGUUCUUUCUUUUCUUCCUUUGUUCGUGCUUUGGCCGGC
RNAcentral lists this long non-coding RNA (1545 nucleotides) under Theobroma cacao (cacao). Its description in RNAcentral is "long non-coding RNA (TCAC_LNC003844)". Lineage: Eukaryota; Viridiplantae; Streptophyta; Magnoliopsida; Malvales; Malvaceae. The record is from RNAcentral.